Molecule: non-coding RNA, 22 nt
Filed under: Arabidopsis thaliana (thale cress)
Lineage: Eukaryota; Viridiplantae; Streptophyta; Magnoliopsida; Brassicales; Brassicaceae
Source: RNAcentral
AAGAGAUGGGGUCUUACAAGGU